RNAcentral lists this ribosomal RNA (2899 nucleotides) under Klebsiella pneumoniae. RNAcentral describes it as "23S ribosomal RNA". It matches the Rfam family "Bacterial large subunit ribosomal RNA". Lineage: Bacteria; Pseudomonadati; Pseudomonadota; Gammaproteobacteria; Enterobacterales; Enterobacteriaceae. The record is from RNAcentral.
UUAAGCGACUAAGCGUACACGGUGGAUGCCCUGGCAGUCAGAGGCGAUGAAGGACGUGCUAAUCUGCGAAAAGCGUCGGUAAGGUGAUAUGAACCGUUAUAACCGGCGAUGUCCGAAUGGGGAAACCCAGUGUGAUUCGUCACACUAUCGUUAACUGAAUACAUAGGUUAACGAGGCGAACCGGGGGAACUGAAACAUCUAAGUACCCCGAGGAAAAGAAAUCAACCGAGAUUCCCCCAGUAGCGGCGAGCGAACGGGGAGCAGCCCAGAGUCUGAAUCAGCUUGUGUGUUAGUGGAACGGUCUGGAAAGUCCGACGGUACAGGGUGAUAGUCCCGUACACCAAAAUGCACAGGCUGUGAACUCGAAGAGUAGGGCGGGACACGUGGUAUCCUGUCUGAAUAUGGGGGGACCAUCCUCCAAGGCUAAAUACUCCUGACUGACCGAUAGUGAACCAGUACCGUGAGGGAAAGGCGAAAAGAACCCCGGCGAGGGGAGUGAAAAAGAACCUGAAACCGUGUACGUACAAGCAGUGGGAGCACCUUCGGGUGUGACUGCGUACCUUUUGUAUAAUGGGUCAGCGACUUAUAUUCUGUAGCAAGGUUAACCGUAUAGGGGAGCCGCAGGGAAACCGAGUCUUAACUGGGCGUUAAGUUGCAGGGUAUAGACCCGAAACCCGGUGAUCUAGCCAUGGGCAGGUUGAAGGUUGGGUAACACUAACUGGAGGACCGAACCGACUAAUGUUGAAAAAUUAGCGGAUGACUUGUGGCUGGGGGUGAAAGGCCAAUCAAACCGGGAGAUAGCUGGUUCUCCCCGAAAGCUAUUUAGGUAGCGCCUCGUGAAUUCAUCUUCGGGGUAGAGCACUGUUUCGGCUAGGGGGUCAUCCCGACUUACCAACCCGAUGCAAACUACGAAUACCGAAGAAUGUUAUCACGGGAGACACACGGCGGGUGCUAACGUCCGUCGUGAAGAGGGAAACAACCCAGACCGCCAGCUAAGGUCCCAAAGUCAUGGUUAAGUGGGAAACGAUGUGGGAAGGCACAGACAGCCAGGAUGUUGGCUUAGAAGCAGCCAUCAUUUAAAGAAAGCGUAAUAGCUCACUGGUCGAGUCGGCCUGCGCGGAAGAUGUAACGGGGCUAAACCAUGCACCGAAGCUGCGGCAGCGACACUAUGUGUUGUUGGGUAGGGGAGCGUUCUGUAAGCCUGCGAAGGUGACCUGUGAGGGUUGCUGGAGGUAUCAGAAGUGCGAAUGCUGACAUAAGUAACGAUAAAGCGGGUGAAAAGCCCGCUCGCCGGAAGACCAAGGGUUCCUGUCCAACGUUAAUCGGGGCAGGGUGAGUCGACCCCUAAGGCGAGGCCGAAAGGCGUAGUCGAUGGGAAACAGGUUAAUAUUCCUGUACUUGGUGUUACUGCGAAGGGGGGACGGAGAAGGCUAUGUUAGCCGGGCGACGGUUGUCCCGGUUUAAGCAUGUAGGCUGGUUGUCCAGGCAAAUCCGGAUAAUCAAGGCUGAGGUGUGAUGACGAGGCACUACGGUGCUGAAGUAACAAAUGCCCUGCUUCCAGGAAAAGCCUCUAAGCAUCAGGUAACAUCAAAUCGUACCCCAAACCGACACAGGUGGUCAGGUAGAGAAUACCAAGGCGCUUGAGAGAACUCGGGUGAAGGAACUAGGCAAAAUGGUGCCGUAACUUCGGGAGAAGGCACGCUGGUGUGUAGGUGAAGUCCCUGCGGAUGGAGCUGAGACCAGUCGAAGAUACCAGCUGGCUGCAACUGUUUAUUAAAAACACAGCACUGUGCAAACACGAAAGUGGACGUAUACGGUGUGACGCCUGCCCGGUGCCGGAAGGUUAAUUGAUGGGGUUAUCCGUAAGGAGAAGCUCUUGAUCGAAGCCCCGGUAAACGGCGGCCGUAACUAUAACGGUCCUAAGGUAGCGAAAUUCCUUGUCGGGUAAGUUCCGACCUGCACGAAUGGCGUAAUGAUGGCCAGGCUGUCUCCACCCGAGACUCAGUGAAAUUGAACUCGCUGUGAAGAUGCAGUGUACCCGCGGCAAGACGGAAAGACCCCGUGAACCUUUACUAUAGCUUGACACUGAACAUUGAGCCUUGAUGUGUAGGAUAGGUGGGAGGCUUUGAAGCGUGGACGCCAGUCUGCGUGGAGCCAACCUUGAAAUACCACCCUUUAAUGUUUGAUGUUCUAACGUUGGCCCCUUAUCGGGGUUGCGGACAGUGUCUGGUGGGUAGUUUGACUGGGGCGGUCUCCUCCCAAAGCGUAACGGAGGAGCACGAAGGUUAGCUAAUCCUGGUCGGACAUCAGGAGGUUAGUGCAAUGGCAUAAGCUAGCUUGACUGCGAGCGUGACGGCGCGAGCAGGUGCGAAAGCAGGUCAUAGUGAUCCGGUGGUUCUGAAUGGAAGGGCCAUCGCUCAACGGAUAAAAGGUACUCCGGGGAUAACAGGCUGAUACCGCCCAAGAGUUCAUAUCGACGGCGGUGUUUGGCACCUCGAUGUCGGCUCAUCACAUCCUGGGGCUGAAGUAGGUCCCAAGGGUAUGGCUGUUCGCCAUUUAAAGUGGUACGCGAGCUGGGUUUAGAACGUCGUGAGACAGUUCGGUCCCUAUCUGCCGUGGGCGCUGGAGAAUUGAGGGGGGCUGCUCCUAGUACGAGAGGACCGGAGUGGACGCAUCACUGGUGUUCGGGUUGUCAUGCCAAUGGCACUGCCCGGUAGCUAAAUGCGGAAGAGAUAAGUGCUGAAAGCAUCUAAGCACGAAACUUGCCCCGAGAUGAGUUCUCCCUGAGACUUUAAGUCUCCUGAAGGAACGUUAAAGACGAUGACGUUGAUAGGCCGGGUGUGUAAGCGCAGCGAUGCGUUGAGCUAACCGGUACUAAUGAACCGUGAGGCUUAACCUU